RNAcentral lists this ribosomal RNA (864 nucleotides) under uncultured bacterium. RNAcentral describes it as "bacterial SSU rRNA". It matches the Rfam family "Bacterial small subunit ribosomal RNA", at positions 38 to 896 of the family's 1533-position model. The record is from RNAcentral.
GGCGGAAUGCUUUACACAUGCAAGUCGAACGGCAGCACGGACUUCGGUCUGGUGGCGAGUGGCGAACGGGUGAGUAACAUAUCGGAACGUAUCCAAUAAUGGGGGAUAACUAAGCGAAAGCUUGGCUAAUACCGCAUACGCCCUGAGGGGGAAAGCUAGGGAUCUUCGGACCUGGCGUUGAUGGAGCGGCCGAUAUCUGAUUAGCUAGUUGGUGGGGUAAAGGCCCACCAAGGCGACGAUCAGUAGCUGGUCUGAGAGGACGACCAGCCACACUGGAACUGAGACACGGUCCAGACUCCUACGGGAGGCAGCAGUGGGGAAUUUUGGACAAUGGGCGCAAGCCUGAUCCAGCCAUUCCGCGUGAGUGAAGAAGGCCUUCGGGUUGUAAAGCUCUUUCGCAAGGGAAGAAAGAUUACGCUCUAACAUAGCGUGAUUAUGACGGUACCUUGAUAAGAAGCACCGGCUAACUACGUGCCAGCAGCCGCGGUAAUACGUAGGGUGCGAGCGUUAAUCGGAAUUACUGGGCGUAAAGCGUGCGCAGGCGGUUUUGUAAGUCAGAUGUGAAAUCCCCGAGCUCAACUUGGGAACUGCGUUUGAAACUACAAGACUAGAAUAGGUCAGAGGGGGGUAGAAUUCCACGUGUAGCAGUGAAAUGCGUAGAGAUGUGGAGGAAUAUCAAUGGCGAAGGCAGCCCCCUGGGAUCAUAUUGACGCUCAUGCACGAAAGCGUGGGGAGCAAACAGGAUUAGAUACCCUGGUAGUCCACGCCCUAAACGAUGUCAACUAGUUGUUGGUAGAGUAAAAUCUAUGAGUAACGCAGCUAACGCGUGAAGUUGACCGCCUGGGGAGUACGAUCGCAAGAUUA